CCAGACUCCUACGGGAGGCAGCAGUGGGGAAUAUUGCACAAUGGGGGAAACCCUGAUGCAGCGACGCCGCGUGAGCGAAGAAGUACCUCGGUAUGUAAAGCUCUAUCAGCAGGGAAGAAGAUGACGGUACCUGACCAAGAAGCUCCGGCUAACUACGUGCCAGCAGCCGCGGUAAUACGUAUGGUGCAAGCGUUAUCCGGAUUUACUGGGUGUAAAGGGAGCGCAGGCGGCACGGCAAGCCUGAUGUGAAAGCCCGCGGCCCAACCGCGGGACUGCAUUGGGAACUACCGGGCUGGAGUGCCGGAGAGGUAGGCGGAAUUCCUAGUGUAGCGGUGAAAUGCGUAGAUAUUAGGAGGAACGCCAGUGGCGAAGGCGGCCUACUGGACGGUGACUGACGCUGAGGCUCGAAAGCGUGGGGAGCAAACAGGAUUAGAGACCCUGGUACGA
This 447-nucleotide ribosomal RNA is filed under the name uncultured bacterium. RNAcentral describes it as "partial 16S ribosomal RNA". It matches the Rfam family "Bacterial small subunit ribosomal RNA", at positions 331 to 794 of the family's 1533-position model. The record is from RNAcentral.